This 72-nucleotide transfer RNA is filed under the name Cavia porcellus (domestic guinea pig). It matches the Rfam family "tRNA". Rfam says of the family: Transfer RNA (tRNA) molecules are approximately 80 nucleotides in length. The record is from Rfam by way of RNAcentral. Lineage: Eukaryota; Metazoa; Chordata; Mammalia; Rodentia; Caviidae.
GGGGAUGUAGCUCAGUGGAAGAGAACUUGCCUAGCAUGCUUAAGGGUCUGGGUUCAAUCUCUAGCAUCACCA